GGCCUUUCCAGACGCGGGCGUUGUGCCUAUAUUCCUCGGUGCCGGUGAAAGCCGGCUAUGGCGAUAAACUGACGGUGUAAUAAACCAUUCGGACCCGGGGGCGGUACCCGGCGCCUCCACCGGAAGCUCUCUCCUCAUCCCGCCGACAGGCGGCGACGAGGGAUCGGAGAGCUUGCGGCGGGGGCGAAAUAGGAUCGACGAGGGUGUAAAGAUCGGACUUUCGCUCGGCAUUGUACCGCCGUUAUCGGGCUAUUUUUAUAGUUGCCAACGACAACUAUGCGGAAGUCCGUCUCGCUGCUUAAGGCAGCGCGAUAGCUUCGAAUCAAGCCCUGGGGGUUCGCACUUCUAGGCGGGGUCCGGAGGCACCUGGCAACAGAAGCCUCUACU
RNAcentral lists this transfer-messenger RNA (387 nucleotides) under Aureimonas sp. Leaf460. RNAcentral's name for it is "Alphaproteobacteria transfer-messenger RNA". It matches the Rfam family "Alphaproteobacteria transfer-messenger RNA". From Rfam's summary of the family: Bacterial tmRNA, also known as 10Sa RNA or SsrA, is named for its dual tRNA and mRNA-like properties. Its role is to liberate the mRNA from a stalled ribosome. To accomplish this part of the tmRNA is used as a reading frame that ends in a translation stop signal. Lineage: Bacteria; Pseudomonadati; Pseudomonadota; Alphaproteobacteria; Hyphomicrobiales; Aurantimonadaceae. The record is from Rfam by way of RNAcentral.